UAAGGAAUAUUGGUCAAUGGACGCAAGUCUGAACCAGCCAUGCCGCGUGAAGGAUUAAGGUCCUCUGGAUUGUAAACUUCUUUUAUCUGGGACGAAAAAAGGCGAUUCUUCGUCACUUGACGGUACCAGAUGAAUAAGCACCGGCUAACCCCGUGCCAGCAGCCGCGGUAAUACGGAGGGUGCAAGCGUUAUCCGGAUUCACUGGGUUUAAAGGGUGCGUAGGCGGGCAGGUAAGUCAGUGGUGAAAUCCUAGAGCUUAACUCUAGAACUGCCAUUGAUACUAUCUGUCUUGAAUAUUGUGGAGGUAAGCGGAAUAUGUCAUGUAGCGGUGAAAUGCUUAGAUAUGACAUAGAACACCUAUUGCGAAGGCAGCUUACUACGCAUAUAUUGACGCUGAGGCACGAAAGCGUGGGGAUCAAACAGGAUUAGAUACCCCUGGUAGUCCACGCCCUAAACGAUGAUUACCCGACAUUUGUGAUACACUAUAAGUGUCUGAGCGAAAGCAUUAAGUAAUCCACCUGGGAAGUACGACCGCAAGGUUGAAACUUAAAGGAAUUGACGGGGGUCAUAGCUGUUUCCUG
This 581-nucleotide ribosomal RNA is filed under the name uncultured bacterium. Its description in RNAcentral is "partial 16S ribosomal RNA". It matches the Rfam family "Bacterial small subunit ribosomal RNA", at positions 355 to 941 of the family's 1533-position model. The record is from RNAcentral.